RNAcentral lists this long non-coding RNA (322 nucleotides) under Mytilus galloprovincialis (Mediterranean mussel). The record is from RNAcentral. Lineage: Eukaryota; Metazoa; Mollusca; Bivalvia; Mytilida; Mytilidae.
AAUGAACUUAAAAGUUUGUUUUUGCCUUUUAGCAAUUCACUAUGCUGUUGAAUAUUAAUCCUCUCAAAAAAAUGUUUGAAGAAAUUUUCUUUUUAUUUAUGAAAUCUGAAAUGAGAAAAAUUUAACCCCCCCCUUUUUCACAUCCCCGUUUCCUUUUUUCCAAAACUGAUAUCAAUUCAAAUUUCUAAUGGAGUUUGCAACAAUAACUACUCUUUUAAAUACAUCAUAAAAUAUUAAAAUGUAAAAUAAAGUGCUUGUUAUCACUGAAUGGUAAAGAUUGGUUGGUAGUAAAAGUGAAUAUACAUUGUUUAUUGUAUAAAAC